CUUGAAUCAAAAUGGGGGGACCUGGCUGGGCAUUAUUGCCUCACAAUGCGGGAGUUUAUUGCUGAAACCUGCUUAUCCCCCAGCUCCGCGCUCCAUGGGAACUGCGGUCAGGUGGAAAGUGAUUCUGUUCUCUGCCGAGGCGGCUUGAAGUGUCGUAAGACCCGCUAAAGUCCUAAAGCCCUUCCUCGUAACUGAGACAUUUAGGAUAAUCUUUAUGGGAGUUUUGCAUGAGCUUCUGCUUUUUGUUGCACUUAGAAGGAGAGUUAAUGAUGAGCUUUCACUGGCUUCUCCCCCCCCCCCCUUUUUUUUUAAAUCUAAGCCCAAAAGCGCCUGUUUAAGUUAAGUACCACCUCCCUCCAGCCCUUGGGAAACCACUCAAGAGGGCUUUGCUUGGCUCUGUGUUCAUGACACAUAAUGAAAACAAUUUUACGCUGUGGAGGGAAGUAUUGGGCAAUUACUGAUGUAACAGCCACCUGCAGUAGCGAGCCCUGGCUGCAGCAUUGCGAGGUUCAUGAAUAUUUUAUGGUGUGAUGUUAUUUUGAAUGGCUGGGGCAGGUGAAGGGGGCCCCAAGGGUGUAAUAAGUAACUCUGCUGGAGGCUGUGUAGCUGCUCUGUUUCCCUGCAGAGCCCACUGUGUAACACCAAGAAGCAUCCUGACCCUGCCUGGAUCGACGCGAGGGCAGCUGAGGCUGAGGCAAGAUGCUCUGACAAGUCACGGAUCCCAUCCAGGAUAACAUAUUACAUUUAUUGUCAUGUUUACUUGGGCUGCUCUCCGCCGUGCGACAGUUUCUCAGACUUUCCUUAUUGUUAGCCUUUUUGACUGCUGACUGCCAAUGCUGAGAAUAGCGCCUGCCAUAUACCAGCUGGACGGGACUUCUGUAAUUUCACCCUCUCAUUUCACAAGUGAGGAUGCAAAAGCUGAAAGUGACUGAGUAGCUUCCCAAAGUCAACACCAGGCUGAUGAUAAGAGGAAAGUUUUGAUCUUAGGUAUUUUGGCUUCCAUUCCAGUGUUCUCUCACUUCAUCGAAUUGUGUGUCUAAUACCUGAAUCAAAGGAGUUUGAAUUGAGUUGUUAUUCUAAUAAUAAAGCUUGGCUCUUUAAUGUAAAUGUAACCAUUCAUUUCCUUCUAAAAAGUGAUGAAUCGAUUCUUAAUGAUGAGCAAAUACUUUUAAUGCUACCUAUCAAAACUGUGUUGGAUGAAAGAGGGCACGAUUCCCAAUUUUUUAUGGAAAACUACAAAAAAGGAGUAACAUACCUG
This 1258-nucleotide long non-coding RNA is filed under the name Equus caballus (horse). Its description in RNAcentral is "lncRNA (ENSECAG00000034831.3)". Lineage: Eukaryota; Metazoa; Chordata; Mammalia; Perissodactyla; Equidae. The record is from RNAcentral.